RNAcentral lists this ribosomal RNA (254 nucleotides) under uncultured bacterium. Its description in RNAcentral is "partial 16S ribosomal RNA". It matches the Rfam family "Bacterial small subunit ribosomal RNA", at positions 524 to 776 of the family's 1533-position model. The record is from RNAcentral.
CACGUAGGGUGCGAGCGUUGUCCGGAAUUAUUGGGCGUAAAGAGCUCGUAGGCGGUGUGUCGCGUCGGCCGUGAAAACCUGCAGCUUAACUGUGGGCUUGCGGUCGAUACGGGCAUCACUGGAGUUCGGCAGGGGAGACUGGAAUUCCUGGUGUAGCGGUGAAAUGCGCAGAUAUCAGGAGGAACACCCGUAGCGAAGGCGGCACUCUGGGCCGAUACUGACGCUGAGGAGCGAAAGCGUGGGGAGCGAACAGG